UACGGGGGGGGCAAGCGUUGUUCGGAAUUACUGGGCGUAAAGGGCUCGUAGGCGGCCAACUAAGUCCGACGUGAAAUCCCAAGGCUUAACCUUGGAACUGCGUCGGAUACUGGAUGGCUUGAAUUCGGGAGAGGGAUGCAGAAUUCCAGGUGUAGCGGUGAAAUUCGUAGAUAUCGAGAGGAACACCGGUGGCGAAGGCGGCUCACUGGCCCGGUACUGACGCUGAGGUGCGAAAGCGUGGGGAGCAAACAGG
This 253-nucleotide ribosomal RNA is filed under the name uncultured bacterium. RNAcentral's name for it is "partial 16S ribosomal RNA". It matches the Rfam family "Bacterial small subunit ribosomal RNA", at positions 524 to 776 of the family's 1533-position model. The record is from RNAcentral.